This 1107-nucleotide long non-coding RNA is filed under the name Drosophila guanche. The record is from RNAcentral. Lineage: Eukaryota; Metazoa; Arthropoda; Insecta; Diptera; Drosophilidae.
CUCCUGUCAUUCCAUUUUACUGUCACUCAAAUAUUUAUGGGAUUUCCCCUCUUUGAGUUCUGCUUAGCGGUUCUUUCGGCUCUGCCCAUUGUAAAUAUAUUUUUCCAUUAUUUCCCAUUAGUUUUCACUCGUUUGUUACAUUCCCCUCCGAUUGUUUCUCUACCCCCAUCCUUAUCCCCAUCCCCAUCCCCUUCUCCGCAUCUCCACAUGGGCCAGUUUGGUUUUUUUUGUGCGUUUGUAGCUUGGUGUUGGUGUUGGUGUUGGUGUUGGCGUGGUUGUUACACAGGUUGCUGUUGUUGGUGAUGGUGAUGGUGCUGUGCUGGUGGUGCAUAUUGGUUAUUAUCUCUGAAGCGCAUCGCUUCGGUGCGUUUGCCGAUGCCGCAGUCGUCGUCUGCCUGCGUCUUGUGCGUACUUGGCCAGAAUGGGUCGAUCUCUGCAUGUAUGUAGCUGUGGCCGAGACGUAGUCCGAGCUUGGUGCUGUGCCUGACUGACGAAAUGAUGUUAACGCGAAACCAGUUUCAUUGACAAUACAUGGAUGAUGGGGCUGUGCGGUUGCAUCUACGAGCAUAGGUGGAGGGGUACGAGCCUCGUCUCCCAGUUUUUUCGGUGUUUUCGCUGACUUUUUGAUGGAUGGUUGACAAAAGGCAGACCGCAGUGACCACUGCCCAUUGCCCAGGGCCUCUUCGUUGGUUUAUUUGUCUUGUUUGAUUCGAGUACACACAUGGAGACGGACACUGUCAUUGUCGUUGUCGUUGCUGUCAAAUCGCGUUAAUAUCACUGAGCUGUCAAAUUACAGAGGCCGCAGAGUCCAAAUGUUUGUCUCUGCCCCACCUCGGGACUGUCCCGACUGGUAACUCAAUUAAACGGCUAUUCAUGAGGCGGAAGACGUGCCAUCCGAUCGGCUGGCGAGGCGCCACCACUCCAUGCAGAUCCGCACCUCUUGGGCCGCUCUGAUUGGGCCAUUUGUCAAACCGCUCAUUGGAUUCGUUUUGUUCAGCGAAUUGGCCAUCUUUGCCAGCCCUGGCCCUUUGGCUCUUCUCGAAUAGCGGACAGUUCCCAACUUAAUUACUUCAUUUAAGUUAGAGCAGAAAGGUCGCACACUCUGCC